GACAGAGGGUGCAAACGUUGCUCGGAAUCACUGGGCGUAAAGGGCGUGUAGGCGGAUAGAUAAGUCGGGCGUGAAAGCCCCAGGCUCAACCUGGGAACUGCACUCGAAACUGUUUAUCUUGAGUGCCGGAGAGGAAAGCGGAAUACCUGGUGUAGAGGUGAAAUUCGUAGAUAUCAGGUGGAACACCAGUGGCGAAGGCGGCUUUCUGGACGGUAACUGACGCUGAGACGCGAAAGCGUGGGGAGCGAACAGG
RNAcentral lists this ribosomal RNA (253 nucleotides) under uncultured bacterium. RNAcentral's name for it is "partial 16S ribosomal RNA". It matches the Rfam family "Bacterial small subunit ribosomal RNA", at positions 524 to 776 of the family's 1533-position model. The record is from RNAcentral.